RNA transcript from Gossypium arboreum, 951 nucleotides. RefSeq lists it as uncharacterized. The transcript has 7 exons. The record is from RefSeq and is a predicted model, not a curated record. NCBI's taxonomy places the organism in Eukaryota, Viridiplantae, Streptophyta, Magnoliopsida, Malvales, Malvaceae.
AUAAAAAAAUUGAGAUGAAGAGUGCAAAAAUAUAAAGUAGACAAAGAGCGCUAAAAGGUUGCGCUAUUGCGCUAAUGGAACUGUAGCUGGUUCUCUAUAUUAGGCUUCCUUUAUUUUCAACGUCUAAAAAUCCCUUGAUUUUAUUGCCAAGGAAUCAUGGGGGAAACUGGCAAGAACAAGAAGGAUUUCAAGAUGAAAUUCAGCAAUGACAUGAAACCAGACGCAGCCAGUAGUGCAUGGAAGAAGAUAGAGGACGUUGAAGUGACAGAAUUCAUGCGUACAAUAAGGGGCGAUACCAAAUUUGAACAGGCUGGGCGAUUUGAUCAAAAGACAGAUAUAAUCAGGGAAACUAUUGUGGAUGUGCAGAAUUUGCUGAUUGAAAUGGGGAUUCUGAUCAAUAAAAUGAGGGGUGAUUUCAGAUUUACAGAGGCUCCACUAAGUCAAAAGGCAGAGAUCAUACAUGAUACUGAUAUGAUGACGCAAUUCAAUGAGGAGCAACCUAUGCAGUAGAUGCCAAUGUUGAGAUUCAUGAGUCUGAGGUAAAAACUUCUGAGCGUGUGGUAAUUUAUGAUGGGAGUUGCAGCACUGGUGAUGCCGGAGAAAAUGAAGCCUAACAUGCUCUACGGUUCAAAGAUACAGAGUUGAUAAGGAUAGAACGGAAGUGGUCACUGAGAUAUUAGAAAGCAAUCCGAAUAUAUUUUAGCUUGAAGCCUGUUGCAAUUUUCAUUUAUGAUCUUUUUAGAGACUUUGAGUGAUUGAGUUUAUGUGUCUUGGAACAGUGUCAAUCUUUGGGAUUUUAUUUACGAGUCUAGAAGUGAAUAAUAUAAGUGAGUUGGAGUCUGCAGUGGUUGUAAUGCUAGGCGAAUAUAAGUUUCGAGAACACAUGUUGAUGGAUUGGUAUUUUUGUUAGUAAAAGUUACCGCGUAGAACUGCAAUCAUUAAAAUUAGAAA